GGGUUGUGAGGUUAAGCGACUAAGCGUACACGGUGGAUGCCCUGGCAGUCAGAGGCGAUGAAGGACGUGCUAAUCUGCGAAAAGCGUCGGUAAGGUGAUAUGAACCGUUAUAACCGGCGAUGUCCGAAUGGGGAAACCCAGUGUGAUUCGUCACACUAUCGUUAACUGAAUACAUAGGUUAACGAGGCGAACCGGGGGAACUGAAACAUCUAAGUACCCCGAGGAAAAGAAAUCAACCGAGAUUCCCCCAGUAGCGGCGAGCGAACGGGGAGCAGCCCAGAGUCUGAAUCAGCUUGUGUGUUAGUGGAACGGUCUGGAAAGUCCGACGGUACAGGGUGAUAGUCCCGUACACCAAAAUGCACAGGCUGUGAACUCGAAGAGUAGGGCGGGACACGUGGUAUCCUGUCUGAAUAUGGGGGGACCAUCCUCCAAGGCUAAAUACUCCUGACUGACCGAUAGUGAACCAGUACCGUGAGGGAAAGGCGAAAAGAACCCCGGCGAGGGGAGUGAAAAAGAACCUGAAACCGUGUACGUACAAGCAGUGGGAGCACCUUCGGGUGUGACUGCGUACCUUUUGUAUAAUGGGUCAGCGACUUAUAUUCUGUAGCAAGGUUAACCGUAUAGGGGAGCCGCAGGGAAACCGAGUCUUAACUGGGCGUUAAGUUGCAGGGUAUAGACCCGAAACCCGGUGAUCUAGCCAUGGGCAGGUUGAAGGUUGGGUAACACUAACUGGAGGACCGAACCGACUAAUGUUGAAAAAUUAGCGGAUGACUUGUGGCUGGGGGUGAAAGGCCAAUCAAACCGGGAGAUAGCUGGUUCUCCCGAAAGCUAUUUAGGUAGCGCCUCGUGAAUUCAUCUUCGGGGGUAGAGCACUGUUUCGGCUAGGGGGUCAUCCCGACUUACCAACCCGAUGCAAACUACGAAUACCGAAGAAUGUUAUCACGGGAGACACACGGCGGGUGCUAACGUCCGUCGUGAAGAGGGAAACAACCCAGACCGCCAGCUAAGGUCCCAAAGUCAUGGUUAAGUGGGAAACGAUGUGGGAAGGCACAGACAGCCAGGAUGUUGGCUUAGAAGCAGCCAUCAUUUAAAGAAAGCGUAAUAGCUCACUGGUCGAGUCGGCCUGCGCGGAAGAUGUAACGGGGCUAAACCAUGCACCGAAGCUGCGGCAGCGACACUAUGUGUUGUUGGGUAGGGGAGCGUUCUGUAAGCCUGCGAAGGUGACCUGUGAGGGUUGCUGGAGGUAUCAGAAGUGCGAAUGCUGACAUAAGUAACGAUAAAGCGGGUGAAAAGCCCGCUCGCCGGAAGACCAAGGGUUCCUGUCCAACGUUAAUCGGGGCAGGGUGAGUCGACCCUAAGGCGAGGCCGAAAGGCGUAGUCGAUGGGAAACAGGUUAAUAUUCCUGUACUUGGUGUUACUGCGAAGGGGGGACGGAGAAGGCUAUGUUAGCCGGGCGACGGUUGUCCCGGUUUAAGCAUGUAGGCUGAUUGUCCAGGCAAAUCCGGAUAAUCAAGGCUGAGGUGUGAUGACGAGGCACUACGGUGCUGAAGUAACAAAUGCCCUGCUUCCAGGAAAAGCCUCUAAGCAUCAGGUAACAUUAAAUCGUACCCCAAACCGACACAGGUGGUCAGGUAGAGAAUACCAAGGCGCUUGAGAGAACUCGGGUGAAGGAACUAGGCAAAAUGGUGCCGUAACUUCGGGAGAAGGCACGCUGGUGUGUAGGUGAAGUCCCUGCGGAUGGAGCUGAGACCAGUCGAAGAUACCAGCUGGCUGCAACUGUUUAUUAAAAACAGCACUGUGCAAACACGAAAGUGGACGUAUACGGUGUGACGCCUGCCCGGUGCCGGAAGGUUAAUUGAUGGGGUUAUCCGUAAGGAGAAGCUCUUGAUCGAAGCCCCGGUAAACGGCGGCCGUAACUAUAACGGUCCUAAGGUAGCGAAAUUCCUUGUCGGGUAAGUUCCGACCUGCACGAAUGGCGUAAUGAUGGCCAGGCUGUCUCCACCCGAGACUCAGUGAAAUUGAACUCGCUGUGAAGAUGCAGUGUACCCGCGGCAAGACGGAAAGACCCCGUGAACCUUUACUAUAGCUUGACACUGAACAUUGAGCCUUGAUGUGUAGGAUAGGUGGGAGGCUUUGAAGCGUGGACGCCAGUCUGCGUGGAGCCAACCUUGAAAUACCACCCUUUAAUGUUUGAUGUUCUAACGUUGGCCCCUGACCGGGGUUGCGGACAGUGUCUGGUGGGUAGUUUGACUGGGGCGGUCUCCUCCCAAAGCGUAACGGAGGAGCACGAAGGUUAGCUAAUCCUGGUCGGACAUCAGGAGGUUAGUGCAAUGGCAUAAGCUAGCUUGACUGCGAGCGUGACGGCGCGAGCAGGUGCGAAAGCAGGUCAUAGUGAUCCGGUGGUUCUGAAUGGAAGGGCCAUCGCUCAACGGAUAAAAGGUACUCCGGGGAUAACAGGCUGAUACCGCCCAAGAGUUCAUAUCGACGGCGGUGUUUGGCACCUCGAUGUCGGCUCAUCACAUCCCGGGCUGAAGUAGGUCCCAAGGGUAUGGCUGUUCGCCAUUUAAAGUGGUACGCGAGCUGGGUUUAGAACGUCGUGAGACAGUUCGGUCCCUAUCUGCCGUGGGCGCUGGAGAAUUGAGGGGCUGCUCCUAGUACGAGAGGACCGGAGUGGACGCAUCACUGGUGUUCGGGUUGUCAUGCCAAUGGCACUGCCCGGUAGCUAAAUGCGGAAGAGAUAAGUGCUGAAAGCAUCUAAGCACGAAACUUGCCCCGAGAUGAGUUCUCCCUGAGACUUUAAGUCUCCUGAAGGAACGUUGAAGACGACGACGUUGAUAGGCCGGGUGUGUAAGCGCAGCGAUGCGUUGAGCUAACCGGUACUAAUGAACCGUGAGGCUUAACCUUACAACGCCGAAG
Molecule: ribosomal RNA, 2916 nt
Filed under: Klebsiella pneumoniae
Lineage: Bacteria; Pseudomonadati; Pseudomonadota; Gammaproteobacteria; Enterobacterales; Enterobacteriaceae
Description: 23S ribosomal RNA
Rfam family: Bacterial large subunit ribosomal RNA
Source: RNAcentral